UUUUAAGGAAAAAACACUUUUUCACGGACGGUGACAGCGAAACGGAUAACAGUCUUCAGUGCCUGCUGGUCUUUGAAGCUCUGGAUUCUGGGACUGUUGGAAAAGCUCCAACAAAAUGAGGAAGAGGAGCGGGAGAAAAACAAUUAGAUUGAAUUACAAUUGGAUGGAAGUCGAGGACAAGGAGAAGGAAGCUUAGGAUGAGGAGGAAGAAAAGCAGCAGGAGCAUCUUUGGGGAUCUCUAUGAUGUCAUUGAGAGGCGGCGGCGAGAGGGGAGACCUCGGCUCAUCCAGCUGGACAGCCUGACCAGGAGGAGUCUACAUUAACUCGGCUCUUCCAGGGCACCCUGCAGACUCGGCUGCUGGCAACACUGGGAUGACGUGAACGCCAAACAGGAGUCCAUCACAGGUCGACUGCAGCUCCUUGUCUCAGAGUGGGAGGGAUUUGAAGCACAAAGGGAGGAGCUUGUCGUUUGGUUGGCUGAUAUGGAUGUCCACCUGAGUGAAGUUGACCAGCUGACAGGAAACACCUGUGAAAAACUGAAACAACUGCAGGUGUGGGGUUGUUUUGAUAUGAC
Long non-coding RNA from Oreochromis aureus, 574 nucleotides. The record is from Ensembl. NCBI's taxonomy places the organism in Eukaryota, Metazoa, Chordata, Actinopteri, Cichliformes, Cichlidae.